UCUAUACUGUGAACCUCUGGCGAUGAAGGUCGUAACUGACCUUCGGGAGAGACUCAGGACAUAUAGGCUAUAAUGGGUAGGCCUGUUCUGGGGUUUGAUCGAUGCCAAUCAGGAUUACCUUUCUUCCUUUGGGAAGGAAGGCGCCUGGUACCCUUUACCAUAUACCAUGAAUUCAGAAUUGAAAGUAUAAUAUAAUAACAACUUUUAACAAUGGAUCUCUUGGUUCUCGCAUCGAUGAAGAACGUAGCAAAGUGCGAUAACUAGUGUGAAUUGCAUAUUCGUGAAUCAUCGAGUCUUUGAACGCAGCUUGCACUCUAUGGAUCUUCUAUAGAGUACGCUUGCUUCAGUAUCAUAACCAACCCACACAUAAAAUUUAUUUUAUGUGGUGAUGGACAAGCUCGGUUAAAUUUAAUUAUUAUACCGAUUGUCUAAAAUACAGCCUCUUUGUAAUUUUCAUUAAAUUACGAACUACCUAGCCAUCGUGCUUUUUUGGUCCAACCAAAAAACAUUUAAUCUAGGGGUUCUGCCAGCCAGCAGAUAUUUUAAUGCUCUUUAACUAU
This 560-nucleotide ribosomal RNA is filed under the name Rhizopus microsporus var. chinensis. Its description in RNAcentral is "eukaryotic LSU rRNA". The stretch from base 200 to 352 matches the Rfam family "5.8S ribosomal RNA". The record is from RNAcentral. Lineage: Eukaryota; Fungi; Mucoromycota; Mucoromycetes; Mucorales; Rhizopodaceae.